AGAGUUUGAUCAUGGCUCAGAACGAACGCUGGCGGCGUGCCUAACACAUGUAAGUCGAACGGAAUUAAGGGGCUUGCUCCUUAAUUUAGUGGCGCACGGGCGAGUAACGCGUAGAUAAUCUGCCCUGGUAUCUGGGAUAACAUCUCGAAAGGGGUGCUAAUACCGGAUAAGCCCACGAUGGCUUUGGUCGUUGCGGGAAAAGGAGGCCUCUGAACAUGCUUCCGUACCAGGAUGAGUCUGCGUACCAUUAGCUAGUUGGUAGGGUAAUGGCCUACCAAGGCGACGAUGGUUAGCUGGUCUGAGAGGAUGAUCAGCCACACUGGAACUGAGACACGGUCCAGACUCCUACGGGAGGCAGCAGUGGGGAAUUUUGCGCAAUGGGCGAAAGCCUGACGCAGCAACGCCGCGUGAGUGAUGAAGGCUUUCGGGUCGUAAAGCUCUGUCAAGGGGAAAGAAAUGCUUAGCGGUUAAUACCCGUUAUGCUUGACGGUACCCCUAAAGGAAGCACCGGCUAACUCCGUGCCAGCAGCCGCGGUAAUACGGAGGGUGCGAGCGUUGUUCGGAAUUAUUGGGCGUAAAGCGCGUGUAGGCGGUUUGGUAAGUCUGAUGUGAAAGCCCCGGGCUCAACCCGGGAAGUGCAUUGGAAACUGUCAGACUUGAAUACGGGAGAGGGUAGUGGAAUUCCUGGUGUAGGAGUGAAAUCCGUAGAUAUCAGGAGGAACACCGGUGGCGAAGGCGGCUGCCUGGACCGAUAUUGACGCUGAGACGCGAAAGCGUGGGUAGCAAACAGGAUUAGAUACCCUGGUAGUCCACGCCGUAAACGAUGAGUA
Molecule: ribosomal RNA, 830 nt
Filed under: uncultured bacterium
Lineage: Bacteria
Description: bacterial SSU rRNA
Rfam family: Bacterial small subunit ribosomal RNA
Source: RNAcentral